This 764-nucleotide long non-coding RNA is filed under the name Gossypium raimondii (Peruvian cotton). RNAcentral's name for it is "long non-coding RNA (GRAI_LNC002244)". The record is from RNAcentral. Lineage: Eukaryota; Viridiplantae; Streptophyta; Magnoliopsida; Malvales; Malvaceae.
UCUAAAUCCAACACAACCAGUCAUUCUCCACCACCAACUUCACAGAAUCCGGAAUACCUGCAAUCCAGUUCCCGCAUAUUCCUCUUCUCCGUCCUUCCAUCGCCAAAACGUGAGCCGCCCUAUUAAUCGUCCGAGGCACAUAAAUGUAAGUGACUUCUUCAAACAAUUGUUGUAAACACUGAAUAUGAAAAGUAAUCGGCCUAAGAACCGAUCUGUCUUCCUCUGUUUUCAUAAUAGAUUUAAUGACUGUUAAAGAGUCACCUUCCACGAUCAGACGCCGAAAGCCCAUCAUACGCGCGAAUAGCAACGCCCUUUCGCAAGCUCGUGCUUCUGCCACAAAAGCAUCACCAACCUCCUCAAACAGAUAAGUAUCAGUCCCUGCAACCUUUCCUCUACUAUCUCUGGCUAAUACUGCUGUUAUAGCAAUCUUCUUCUCCGGUAAAUAAGACGCAUCAAAAUUAAGCUUGAUAAUAUCAGAUUCAGGAGGCCUCCAAAUAUCCUUGCCCCGACAACCAGAAGAUAAAAGAGGAUUCUUGUUAACUAACCAAGUAUCAUGGUCAUACCCCCUAAUGAAUCCCAAUACCUUUGACAUUGAGAACUUAACCCCUUCAUGGACCAACUUGUUUCUAUGAUACCAAAGACACCAUAAAGAGAUUGAAAUGAGUCUUCUUUGUCGACCAUCUUCUGCAAGAAAUGUACUAACAAAACAAUUUUUAUAAUCCAGCGAAGCAUCAAAAUGAGGGAGUUUGAUUUGCAACGAAGUC